UACGAAGGGGGCUAGCAUUGUUCGGAAUUACUGGGCGUAAAGCGCACGUAGGCGGACUAUUAAGUCAGGGGUGAAAUCCCGGGGCUCAACCCCGGAACUGCCCUUGAAACUGGAGAGCUAGAAUCUUGGAGAGGCGAGUGGAAUUCCGAGUGUAGAGGUGAAAUUCGUAGAUAUUCGGAAGAACACCAGUGGCGAAGGCGACUCGCUGGACAAGUAUUGACGCUGAGGUGCGAAAGCGUGGGGAGCAAACAGG
RNAcentral lists this ribosomal RNA (253 nucleotides) under uncultured bacterium. RNAcentral's name for it is "partial 16S ribosomal RNA". It matches the Rfam family "Bacterial small subunit ribosomal RNA", at positions 524 to 776 of the family's 1533-position model. The record is from RNAcentral.